GAUCCUGGCUCAGGAUGAACGCUAGCGACAGGCUUAACACAUGCAAGUCGAGGGGCAGCGGGGAGUAGCAAUACUCUGCCGGCGACCGGCGCACGGGUGAGUAACGCGUAUCCAACCUGCCCACCACUUGGGGAUAACCUUGCGAAAGUAAGACUAAUACCCAAUGAUAUCUCUAGAAGACAUCUGAAAGAGAUUAAAGAUUCAUCGGUGAUGGAUGGGGAUGCGU
This 226-nucleotide ribosomal RNA is filed under the name uncultured bacterium. Its description in RNAcentral is "partial 16S ribosomal RNA". It matches the Rfam family "Bacterial small subunit ribosomal RNA", at positions 15 to 236 of the family's 1533-position model. The record is from RNAcentral.